AAGGAUUUAGGUUAAACUAAACCAAGGACCUUCAAAGCCCUAAAUAGAUAAUUAUAUCUAAGCCUUA
This 67-nucleotide transfer RNA is filed under the name Silvanidae sp. KM-2017. Its description in RNAcentral is "tRNA-Trp". Lineage: Eukaryota; Metazoa; Arthropoda; Insecta; Coleoptera; Silvanidae. The record is from RNAcentral.